Lacerta agilis (Sand lizard) is the source of this 334-nucleotide long non-coding RNA. RefSeq lists it as uncharacterized. The record is from RefSeq and is a predicted model, not a curated record. The transcript is spliced from 3 exons. Lineage: Eukaryota; Metazoa; Chordata; Lepidosauria; Squamata; Lacertidae.
GUAACUAGGAGGCCACGUUGGCGGGUAUGUCAAGCCAUGUUGGCAUUGCCAUUGGUAGCCUGGAGGGGGAAGCACAGCAGACAGAAUUCCAGAAGACAGAACUGGGCCAUCGUGUCCCGAAGGACACCCUUGCAUUCUGUUGCAAGCCCAGAAACAACCUGUUGGAAAAUGAAGUAUUUUCAAGAAAUCAACACUGGAUCCUUCAGAAGACAACGCAGAAGUGUGGUGGAAAAAACAAAGAACUGCUGUGCCGUUGUCUUUUACUUCUCUUUAAUGUCGGGUUCAGAAGUAAUGAUGGAAAGGGAAGGUGAGACAGGGCGAGGAGAGAGAAGAG